UACAGAGGUCUCAAGCGUUGUUCGGAUUCAUUGGGCGUAAGGGUGUGUAGGUGGCGCCGUAAGUUGGGUGUGAAAUUUCGGAGCUUAACUCCGAAACUGCAUUCGAUACUGCGGUGCUUGAGGACUGGAGAGGAGACUGGAAUUCAUGGUGUAGCAGUGAAAUGCGUAGAGAUCAUGAGGAAGACCAGUGGCGAAGGCGGGUCUCUGGACAGUUCCUGACACUGAGACACGAAGGCCAGGGGAGCAAACGGG
This 252-nucleotide ribosomal RNA is filed under the name uncultured bacterium. RNAcentral's name for it is "partial 16S ribosomal RNA". It matches the Rfam family "Bacterial small subunit ribosomal RNA", at positions 524 to 776 of the family's 1533-position model. The record is from RNAcentral.